AAGGUUAUAUGAUCAAGUAAAGGAAGAGCACAAGGCGGAUGCCUUGGCAGCAGAAGGCGAUGAAGGACGUAGUAACCUGCGAUAAGCUUCGGGGAGCUGGUAAACAGGCUUCGAUCCGAAGAUUU
This 125-nucleotide ribosomal RNA is filed under the name uncultured bacterium. Its description in RNAcentral is "partial 23S ribosomal RNA". It matches the Rfam family "Bacterial large subunit ribosomal RNA", at positions 1 to 113 of the family's 2925-position model. The record is from RNAcentral.